RNAcentral lists this ribosomal RNA (737 nucleotides) under uncultured Bacteroidales bacterium. Its description in RNAcentral is "bacterial SSU rRNA". It matches the Rfam family "Bacterial small subunit ribosomal RNA", at positions 28 to 752 of the family's 1533-position model. The record is from RNAcentral. Lineage: Bacteria; Pseudomonadati; Bacteroidota; Bacteroidia; Bacteroidales.
GAUGAACGCUAGCUACAGGCUUAACACAUGCAAGUCGAGGGGCAGCAUGGUCUUAGCUUGCUAAGGCUGAUGGCGACCGGCGCACGGGUGAGUAACACGUAUCCAACCUGCCGUCUACUCUUGGCCAGCCUUCUGAAAGGAAGAUUAAUCCAGGAUGGGAUCAUGAGUUCACAUGUCCGCAUGAUUAAAGGUAUUUUCCGGUAGACGAUGGGGAUGCGUUCCAUUAGAUAGUAGGCGGGGUAACGGCCCACCUAGUCAACGAUGGAUAGGGGUUCUGAGAGGAAGGUCCCCCACAUUGGAACUGAGACACGGUCCAAACUCCUACGGGAGGCAGCAGUGAGGAAUAUUGGUCAAUGGGCGAUGGCCUGAACCAGCCAAGUAGCGUGAAGGAUGACUGCCCUAUGGGUUGUAAACUUCUUUUAUAAAGGAAUAAAGUCGGGUAUGCAUACCCGUUUGCAUGUACUUUAUGAAUAAGGAUCGGCUAACUCCGUGCCAGCAGCCGCGGUAAUACGGAGGAUCCGAGCGUUAUCCGGAUUUAUUGGGUUUAAAGGGAGCGUAGAUGGAUGUUUAAGUCAGUUGUGAAAGUUUGCGGCUCAACCGUAAAAUUGCAGUUGAUACUGGAUGUCUUGAGUGCAGUUGAGGCAGGCGGAAUUCGUGGUGUAGCGGUGAAAUGCUUAGAUAUCACGAAGAACUCCGAUUGCGAAGGCAGCCUGCUAAGCUGCAACUGACAUUGAGGC